ACAGUUGACUGAUACAUUUUUACAACUGGUGUACAAAGGGGGUUAACAUUAAUGUGUGAUAGGUGCCAGGCCUAUACUUCAAAGAAUAGCAUGAUUUUACCAUAUCAACAAAACAUGCCGCGCAUUGUGCUUUUUGUAAGUAGCGAUAUCAACAAACCGAGAAAUCCACUUAUAAAUGGUGGUAAAUCGCUACAUUAUUAAAAUGAUUAAAAAGAAUAAACGAAUCAUUUAAACAGAUUCACUUAAGUUCAAAAGAAUCGGUUCAGUAAAUGAUUCAUGUCCGAAUGAAUCGUGUACUAGUUUCGAUUCGUUUAAAUGCCAGAGGCGGUGUUUAACUUCGUUCAAAGUAGGCUGUUAUAUUUUGGUUGUAUUUUUACCGACUGUUUCGCUACAGAUGUGUUAUCAAACGGGUCAGUGACUUUAUUACUUUACAUUAACGGAAUUUCGCGUUCAUAAUUACGAAGAUUGGACACAGACUCGUUAAAGAUGACACAUAACCUGUCGUACAGUGCAGUGGCGGCAAGAGGAGCACCAGCAUCAUCCGAUACACAACCACGCUCUGACCUGAUGAAGCUGAAGAAAUCACUCCGGGAUCUGAUGACCCAAUAUCCUGAAGGAGUCACUUUGAGUAAAGCCCGCAGGUUCUGCCCGCUCCUCCUCGACCCAGAGCUACUGAAGGACCACGCUUCUGUCCGCCAGCUCUUGGCAUCCAUGCCUGAUGUGGUGACACUAUGGGGAUUCGGUGUCCAGACAUUCCUUCUCCCUGUUGACACUAAUUGGAACAGGAGAAGUCUUGUGGGAUAGCCAUUGUUUACAGAUAAGUUAUCCCACAAUACUCUGCCAUCAAAAAACAGGACACUUAACUAGAUGAACACUUUCCUCCACUAAACUGUGACCUUUCCAUCUUGGCCUGGAUGACCAUAGAAAAUAGCUGUAAUAAGAAUACAUGGAUUUUUCAUACCACAUUUUUUUUUUAACCACAUUUUGACCAGAUGAAGAAUUGUAUUCUUAAAUAUAAUAUAGAAAUCGCUGUGUUUACAUCUUUGAAGACCACAGAAGCACUUAAUUAUGUAUGUGGUCACGCACAAAUCAGGAAAUAACAGCGAAAUGUAUCCUAUAUUUCUAUGUUUAUAACUUUGAAUAAUAAUAUUUACACAUUUUAACUUUAAAUGUUUUGUAAAGAAAUGUUCAAAAAAACUUGUGACUUUUAUAUUUUUAAUAUGAUAUAUAUAUAUAUAUAUAUACACACACACACACACACACACACUAUAGUAAAUACAUGCAUCCUCCUAAAAAACAAUAUUGUCAGAAAGCAUCUGCAAUAAAUGAAAACUUUGAUUUUUAA
Megalobrama amblycephala (Wuchang bream) is the source of this 1345-nucleotide long non-coding RNA. RefSeq lists it as uncharacterized. The record is from RefSeq and is a predicted model, not a curated record. NCBI's taxonomy places the organism in Eukaryota, Metazoa, Chordata, Actinopteri, Cypriniformes, Xenocyprididae. The transcript has 2 exons.